UGGUGUGUGACUCAGUGGUAGAGUACAUGCUUAGCAUGCACAAGGCCCUGGGUUCAAUCCCCAGCACCCUUC
Molecule: transfer RNA, 72 nt
Filed under: Marmota marmota marmota (Alpine marmot)
Lineage: Eukaryota; Metazoa; Chordata; Mammalia; Rodentia; Sciuridae
Also listed under: 1 other name
Rfam family: tRNA
About the family: Transfer RNA (tRNA) molecules are approximately 80 nucleotides in length. Their secondary structure includes four short double-helical elements and three loops (D, anti-codon, and T loops).
Source: Rfam by way of RNAcentral